RNAcentral lists this ribosomal RNA (253 nucleotides) under uncultured bacterium. Its description in RNAcentral is "partial 16S ribosomal RNA". It matches the Rfam family "Bacterial small subunit ribosomal RNA", at positions 524 to 776 of the family's 1533-position model. The record is from RNAcentral.
UACGAAGGGGGCUAGCGUUGCUCGGAAUUACUGGGCGUAAAGGGCGCGUAGGCGGCCCUGUUAGUCAGGCGUGAAAUUCCUGGGCUCAACCUGGGGACUGCGCUUGAUACGGCAGAGCUUGAGGAUGGAAGAGGGUCGCGGAAUUCCCGGUGUAGAGGUGAAAUUCGUAGAUAUUGGGAAGAACACCGGUGGCGAAGGCGGCGACCUGGUCCAUUACUGACGCUGAGGCGCGAAAGCGUGGGGAGCAAACAGG